Long non-coding RNA from Mustela erminea (ermine), 301 nucleotides. RefSeq lists it as uncharacterized. Lineage: Eukaryota; Metazoa; Chordata; Mammalia; Carnivora; Mustelidae. The record is from RefSeq and is a predicted model, not a curated record. The transcript is spliced from 3 exons.
GAUGUAUGUACCCUGUUCAUUGCAGCAUUAAUUACAACAGCCAAAUUUUGGAGGCAGACCAAGUCUCUAUCAAAAAAUGAUGUAUUUAUAUAUACAAUACAAUAUUACCCAACUAUAAAAAAGAAUGAAAUCUUACCAAUUGCAACAACAUGCAUGGAUGGAGAGGGUAUAAUGCCAAAUGAAACAGGUCAAUCAGAUAAAUACAAAUACCAUAUGAUUUCAUUCAUAUGUGGAAUUUAAGAAACAAAACAAACAAAGAAUACAAGAGACAAACCAAGACUCUUAACUAUAGUGAACAAAU